Molecule: microRNA, 24 nt
Filed under: Ananas comosus (pineapple)
Lineage: Eukaryota; Viridiplantae; Streptophyta; Magnoliopsida; Poales; Bromeliaceae
Description: microRNA s0280_c098
Source: RNAcentral
ACCGUUGGAAAUUAGGAGGGAAUA